Molecule: ribosomal RNA, 238 nt
Filed under: uncultured bacterium
Lineage: Bacteria
Description: partial 16S ribosomal RNA
Rfam family: Bacterial small subunit ribosomal RNA
Source: RNAcentral
GCGGUGAAAUGCGUAGAUAUCAGGAGGAACACCUGUGGUGUAGACAGCUUACUGGACCAUAACUGACGCUGAGGCACGAAAGCGUGGGUAGCAAACAGGAUUAGAUACCCUGGUAGUCCACGCCCUAAACGAUGCAUACUUGGUGUGAGCCAUUCAUUUGGUUCGUGCCGGAGCUAACGCGUUAAGUAUGCCGCCUGGGGAGUACGGUCGCAAGGCUGAAACUCAAAUGAAUUGACGG